UUAACCGAAUACAAUAUAUAAAUAAACAAGUUAACAACUUACUCUCUCCCUCAUUCACAAGUUUACCUACAAACCUAAGAACUGUUCUUGUACAAAAUUGAAGCCGUCUCUUUUUUGGUUUCUAAAUUUUCACAAUCACUAAUUGCAGUUUGCAUUACAUGCAUCUUCUAAUCACGAGUGUGCGCCUUUAUGAGAGAGGAUCAAAUUCCCAGCCUAUCGAUUUUGGAAGACCUUUUUCUCUUGGACUUUAUCAAGAAGAGAAACGAGAGUCAACCCAUAUAAUAUCACUCGACAAGAUCACAAACCUCCCAAGAUGGCCGGUUUAUAAGAUCGAGAUUCUGUUUAUAAGGCCGGUGCGGAAAUAACACUACAAGAUUUGAUGAAUCUAUUCAUUUGCUUUCCUCUGCUUCUGGAAUUUUCUUCUUCGUUUAGUUUAUUCUUUCUGAUAUUGUUUAACAGACUCUUGUUCGAUGUAUAAUGUAGUAUUAUAAUAAUCUUGACAUAUC
Brassica oleracea var. oleracea is the source of this 506-nucleotide long non-coding RNA. RefSeq lists it as uncharacterized. The transcript is spliced from 2 exons. The record is from RefSeq and is a predicted model, not a curated record. Lineage: Eukaryota; Viridiplantae; Streptophyta; Magnoliopsida; Brassicales; Brassicaceae.